UGCAAGACCGAUGCUCUGACGAAAGCACUCAUUGGGGUGCUAGUAGUUGCUGCUUGGUUUGGAAGAUCUUAGGUCUUGGACUUGAGCACUGUUGGUUCCCUCUGGAUCAACUUGCUUGAAAUGUAUUAGCUGGCGACCUGCCUUCAAUGGUUACCACUCGGCGUAGUAAGUCUUAUUCGUCGAGGACACCUUGUACCUUCAUUGGAACGGGUGGCCAUUGUACUGUGUCUUGAUAGCCGCUUCUAAUUGUCUCUGGACAACAUAACGAACUCUUUAAUCUCAACUCGGGUAGGACUACCCGCUGAACUUAAGCAUAUCAAUAAGCGGAGG
Molecule: ribosomal RNA, 330 nt
Filed under: uncultured Tulasnella
Lineage: Eukaryota; Fungi; Basidiomycota; Agaricomycetes; Cantharellales; Tulasnellaceae
Description: eukaryotic LSU rRNA
Rfam family: Eukaryotic large subunit ribosomal RNA (bases 275-330)
Source: RNAcentral